AACUGGAAUCGACAUAAUUCGAUCACUACAGGAAAAGAAGGUUUUUCCGACUUUUUGUUGCGACGCUAGGUAUAAAUGUCGGCAAUUUUGGCUCAGGGGUAAAAAUUUGCUGAUGCUUCAAAGAAGCGUCGUAGAUACAACGAGUAGAUGACGCUUCAAAAAACGAAGCAUCGUCGGUGGUCAUUCCCUCCCCCCCAGCCCGGUUCCAACACCAAAACAAGAAAAGAUAAAUUCUAAUCCCCCUCUCUCGAUCCCUAAACCCUGCAACCGCCCCUCAACCCGCGCAACCCCCCCCCCCCCUCCCCCCUCCCCCUGCCCCACCUCAUGGCAGGGAUGACUGUGGAGUCGAGGAUAUCAAGGAGGGAUUGGUCCAGGAGCCCUCCGGCGGCGCGGGGAGCGGGGGGUACCAAUUCCAACGGUGGGGUGGAGGAUUGAGGUCGAGAUCGGAGGGGAAGUCGAGGAGGAGUAAGUCGUCAGCAGCGAGGCAACCCUCCGGCGGCUCUUCGAGAGGUUCCACCAUCGCUGUUUCUGAGAGGACCCAGGUUUCUCUCUGAUGCUCCCGUGGCGAGGCCCUCUUCCUCGCCUCUUCCUCUUCCUUUUCCUCGCCUCCGGACGAUCAGGGACUGCCUCAUGCCCGCCGCCUUCUUUGUCGCCUACUGCACCUUCCACCUCUGCCUCCUCUGCGGCCUUGUCGACCUCCUCAUCAACGGCUAUGCUGCAUCCUAUGCUAUCAAAGCGAGGCCUCUUAACCUCCUCCUCUGAAUGCACACCAAGUGUUUGAUGGUUGAUGAGCCCCUCCAACCCCUUCUCCCCCAAGGCCAUCUACGGUGAGUCCCCCAACCCCUUCUCCCGCAACUCUAAUUUUUUGCUGGUUUUGGUUGCAGAAGCGGAGAGGGUUGAAGGGAAUGGAGAGCAUGGACAGUGAUUAGGAAUAGUGAUGGAGGUGAAGAAAACUAAGAAUCUGAAGCUAGGGUUGAAGAGAGAAAAUAAGAGAAAAAA
This is a non-coding RNA of Phoenix dactylifera (date palm), 999 nucleotides long. The record is from RefSeq and is a predicted model, not a curated record. NCBI's taxonomy places the organism in Eukaryota, Viridiplantae, Streptophyta, Magnoliopsida, Arecales, Arecaceae.